UACACAGCACACCAAAAGCUUCAGCAGCAGCAACAACAGCAGCUGUUCCAAUUCCUUUUUCUCACAUUUAAUCCAUUCCAAAUCCAUUCAAACACCUUUAGAAUUAUCCAAAGAAGCUCCCCAAGCUACCAAAUUAAUUUGGUAACAUUUAAUUCUCAAAUUUGCAUCAAUUUGCUCAUUUGGACCAAAUCGACUAAAAAUUUCAGCAUAAGAGUAAUAACAGCAAUUUGAGUUCUCGGCCACUUCUAUUCCAUUCUAGCCCACUCACGCACUUCCAAAAC
This 281-nucleotide long non-coding RNA is filed under the name Ananas comosus (pineapple). RNAcentral's name for it is "long non-coding RNA (ACOM_LNC039564)". Lineage: Eukaryota; Viridiplantae; Streptophyta; Magnoliopsida; Poales; Bromeliaceae. The record is from RNAcentral.